UAAAAUAUUUAUAAAUAUUUACUUCAUGAAAUUCAUACACAUUUAAGUGUCUAUUUUGUCCUUUGAGACAUCACUAAUUUUUCAAGAGAAUUGGAUAGCUUGGUUACUAAAAAGCGUCUAUAUGUAUCACAAAUAUUUCAGCACAAGGGAGAACUAAGCCAUCCCAGAUACAUAUACAUGUCAAAAUGGAAGUAUCCGAGUGCAUGAGCAACUUAAGGACCGAAAUAGUAUUUGAGUACAUGAGAACGUAACACAAGAGACAUAUACAUAGAUCAUUUUUAGUACAUGGCCGGCAGGACCAAGUGUUAAGGACUGAAAUUAUCACUGCCCAACAAGCAUCUUGAUAGUACAUGAGAGAAAGAUCUAUCAGUUUGCCUCCUGUUUUAGUGCUUCCUGGUAAUCGAGCUUCAUCUGCUGUCAGAGAUGACAACCUCCAUGGACUCUUAUACGUCUAUCAGUUCAAUCUACCUAGCUAAGAACACGAAAUAAAUAGGUUUCAGUUAGAAACAGCUACGAAAUAGUAGGAGAUGUCUAACAGAGACAGUACAAAUAUUUGUUGCCGCAUAUUCAUUAUUCCAUUACAGAUUAUGUUACAAAAUUAACAACAUUGAAAUUCAUUUUUGGCGAGAGAUCAGCAUAACACGCAUAUGUUCUAAUUCAAAAAGAAUUCUGACAACUAACAAACACUCAUGUUUAUACCACUGAAUGGACCUUAGCUGCUUGCAUAAAAACUAGCCCAUAAAAGUUUCAUAGUGGUGAAGGUUAGAGAGUGUUACAAUUAUAAAUUUGACUUUACCCAUAUCAUAAGGACUUGGACAUGGUUACAAACAUAUUGGGCAUGCACAAAGUAAAUCUUGGUACCUUCAGAAAAUAGGAACAUAGGCUCCAGUUUCACGCGAGGUUAAAGCUUGCACGAGCAUGCAUAGACCUAUGAUCAACAUAUUACAAUUUCAAGGAUUAGCUAAAAGCAUAAAUGAGAACGACAAUAGAGUAUAUUCAUCACUAAUGGCAUGUUUGUGCGAACUGUAAUGCUAAUUGAUGAUUCACAAUAAUUAGGCAUAGCCAUUAACUAACAUAUUAUAGGAAAAUUAAAAAAUAUUAUAGGCAUAUUCUUGAGCGAUCCACAGUCUAGAACCGUAGCAAUACACCAUCAAAUCUUCCAAACUAGAGUACCAAACACCUAUAACAGUACCAAUACACCAUCAAAUUGAAGUUAUUAAAAUACAUCAUUCACUGAGAAAAUUCGACAUGAACAAAAGAAUUGAACUAGAGAGAGGGAAAGGGAGAGGAGGCGACGAACCUAGAGCUAUCAGACCUUCAGAAGGGAGGCUGCGACGAGAACAAUGUGGGGCGGAGGUUGGCGGCUGACGAACUCCGAUCUGGUCCGCCUCAAACUGGGUCGCCAGCCACACAACGGCAAGGAACCAUUGAGAGAUCCGGGGGAGGGAGUAUUCGACUAGCUUCGAGAAGGGGAUCUGGGCCGCCGCCGCCGCCGUCGCCGCCCUCUGGAAAAAUCUGUUCAUGCGCUGCCUCAGGCCACGGGAUUUGGGUACGAACGAGAAG
RNAcentral lists this long non-coding RNA (1563 nucleotides) under Triticum aestivum (bread wheat). RNAcentral describes it as "long non-coding RNA (TAES_LNC000373)". The record is from RNAcentral. Lineage: Eukaryota; Viridiplantae; Streptophyta; Magnoliopsida; Poales; Poaceae.